ACGGAACCAGUAACCCUAAACGG
Molecule: small nuclear RNA, 23 nt
Filed under: Arabidopsis thaliana (thale cress)
Lineage: Eukaryota; Viridiplantae; Streptophyta; Magnoliopsida; Brassicales; Brassicaceae
Description: snRNA_12548
Source: RNAcentral